Molecule: RNA transcript, 882 nt
Organism: Temnothorax curvispinosus
Lineage: Eukaryota; Metazoa; Arthropoda; Insecta; Hymenoptera; Formicidae
Gene: Dim1
Gene name: thioredoxin-like protein 4A
Exons: 5
Source: RefSeq, a predicted model, not a curated record
AUACUUUUGAAAGUGCUGAAAGUGUAACAGACCUACACUACAGUCAUCGCGUCGUGUUCCGUCGGGACGGUACGUUUCCCAACCUCAAACAACAUCGCUUUAAUAACUUUAAUUAACAAACGGAAUUGCAUUAUUUUGUAAUCGCAAGUGUCGUAUUUCGCACGCCUCAAAAUGUCUUACAUGCUAUCGCAUUUGGAAAACGGCUAUCAAGUCGAUCAAGCCAUUCUAUCUGAGGAAGACAGAGUCGUGGUGAUUCGCUUUGGGCACGAUUGGGAUCCGAUGUGUAUGAAGAUGGACGAAGUUCUCUAUAAUAUCGCAGAAAAAGUCAAGAAUUUUGCCGUUAUUUACUUGGUGGAUAUCACAAAAGUGCCAGAUUUCAAUAAAAUGUAUGAGCUGUACGACCCAUGUACAGUAAUGUUCUUCUUUAGAAACAAGCACAUCAUGAUAGAUUUGGGUACGGGAAACAAUAACAAAAUUAAUUGGACAUUGGAAGACAAACAGGAAAUGAUCGACAUCAUUGAGACGGUUUAUAGAGGUGCAAGAAAAGGUCGAGGUUUAGUUGUUUCUCCUAAAGAUUACUCUACUAAAUAUCGAUAUUAAUGCUAUAUUUAUUUCAAGGCGAGCUGUUACAUGGAAAAAAUCAGAUGUAUCUGAUUUUGAGUGGACAAUGCAUUAGGUGUUCUCAUAUACUGGCUCAACUGGUGGUGGUUUGUCUACGAGAAUGCAAGAUAAUGAAUUUUGGAAAAGUAUACACUAAACAUAGUAUAUUGUAAGAGAUACUUACAAGUUUUUAAGAAAAGAAUAUCUAUCGCUAUUAACGUUCCUGUUCUGCCAAUCCCUGCACUGAAAAGUAAUGAUAUUUUCUUUUAUUAAGAAGUAUAA